Molecule: ribosomal RNA, 430 nt
Filed under: Abiotrophia defectiva ATCC 49176
Lineage: Bacteria; Bacillati; Bacillota; Bacilli; Lactobacillales; Aerococcaceae
Description: bacterial SSU rRNA
Rfam family: Bacterial small subunit ribosomal RNA
Source: RNAcentral
GACGAACGCUGGCGGCGUGCCUAAUACAUGCAAGUCGAACGAACCGCGACUAGGUGCUUGCACUUGGUCAAGGUGAGUGGCGAACGGGUGAGUAACACGUGGGUAACCUACCUCAUAGUGGGGGAUAACAGUCGGAAACGACUGCUAAUACCGCAUAGGACAUGGGAUCACAUGAUUCCGUGAGGAAAGGUGGCGCAAGCUAUCGCUAAGAGAUGGACCCGCGGUGCAUUAGCUAGUUGGUAGGGUAAGGGCCUACCAAGGCGAUGAUGCAUAGCCGACCUGAGAGGGUGAUCGGCCACAUUGGGACUGAGACACGGCCCAAACUCCUACGGGAGGCAGCAGUAGGGAAUCUUCCGCAAUGGACGCAAGUCUGACGGAGCAACGCCGCGUGAGUGAAGAAGGUCUUCGGAUCGUAAAGCUCUGUUGUUAG